Molecule: non-coding RNA, 28 nt
Filed under: Rattus norvegicus (Norway rat)
Lineage: Eukaryota; Metazoa; Chordata; Mammalia; Rodentia; Muridae
Source: RNAcentral
UGACAGAGGGAGAUAUCACUGCCUCGAA